GGCAGGCACAGAGCGUUGGAUCGGAACUGUCCGAUCUACUUUAAACAAAAGAACGCCAUUCAAGCAAAAUUAGCUGUAACCAAACUCGACGUGACUGUUUCAGUUAUGAGCAGUUUUUCAACUACACUCACCCCGCAUGUGAUGUGCGAUGCCCCCAGUUACCCCAUGGAAACCGAAUAUGUUUUAUAAACAUCUCAAUCCAUUCCCUACCCAUAUGAAUCUACAAUGAGGAUGAUGAACUGGGCAAAAGCGGAAAUUCGAAACUCACUAGGGGACUUUUCUAAUUUUCUAUGCCAAAGAAUCGCCAAAGAAUUCCCUGGUUCUGAAAGAAUAAUUGCAAUCAUCAAAUCUUCAGAAGAGGUCUUCAGGCAGUAACGCCAUCAGCUACAUGGUGACCACACUUAAUUUACUGCGGUGGAAUUGUCACAGUAUUUACACGGAAGCAUCUAAAGAUAGCAACCUCGUUCUACCAAACACCGGGUCCGCCACCAGGAUUCAUGCUGAGCUAAAUAGAUGGAGUGUUCUCGAUCUGACCUUUGUGUUAGCCGCUUUCUCCACGGGGACCUCAUGGUCUAUAAUGAGAGAUUCUUUAGAUAGUGACCACUUUCCUAUUCAUUUACGACUGGAGGAAAUUAAAUUCCAGUGCAGGGAAAAACUUUUUCUCAGCAACGUGGAGUGAAUGUCCUUUGGGAAUUUCAUUAAGUCACACUCCUCACUACUCUUAUCAAAGAAGAAAAUGUCGAUAUCGUAUAUAAUUCGUUUCUUAAUUCUAUAUAUGACUUCCUUCUGGCAGCACGGGCGAAAGGUUCCAAGAGGUCUUCCACACCCGAAAGUUGACCUCCUGCAGCGCUGUGGUGGAACUAUGAGUGCACCAAACUGGUUGUCUCUCGCGGAGCAGCAGCUAAGUGCUUCCGGAAUAACCCCAACAACGAAAACCUAGAAGCAUGUAACAAACUUGAAAAGGAGGUUUAGAACUACCUCAGAAAUAUCAAACGGAAAAGCUUCCAAAAAUUCUCUUCUUCCUUUGGCCCACAGACGAAGUUGGACUAAAUCCAGGGUUUCAGGAAAGGAAAAUCUGUUAGCGACAAUGCCACUGUACUUACAACGGACAUCAGAUUAAAUCUUCUCAAGAAGGAGCACUUUGCUGGUGUAUUUUUCGAUAUUUAAGAGGCAUUUGACAAUGUCAUUCCGAAAAUUCUCAUUCAACAAAUAACUGCACUUGGCAUUCCAGACCGGAUCGUAAUUUUUAUGAAGCAUGUCAUCUGGCAAAGAGUGGUUCAUGGUAGGGCUCGGGGGGCUGACCUUAGCGUCAGGACAACGAACGUGGGUCUGCCCCAGGGUUCAGCCCGGAGUGCUCAUCUUUUCAACUUACUUAAAAUGCAUCUUUUAGAACACUGGCCAUAGCACAAGAAUCCUCACCAACACUGGUAAUGUGGUAAUUUAUUCCUCAACAGGACCUACAAGUGACCCUCAUGAAGUAUCAUCCUCAUUGGAAUUGAUGAGCACCUGGCUCCUUCGCAGGGGACUAAUGGUAAGCUCAAAGAAAACUCAAUUCUGCAUCUUUUCUAGGAGACCCCUCGGAGACAAGUCAAUACACAUCCAACUGAACGGUUCCUCAAUUUUGGAACUCA
Neodiprion virginianus is the source of this 1631-nucleotide long non-coding RNA. RefSeq lists it as uncharacterized. The transcript has 3 exons. The record is from RefSeq and is a predicted model, not a curated record. Lineage: Eukaryota; Metazoa; Arthropoda; Insecta; Hymenoptera; Diprionidae.